This 85-nucleotide small RNA is filed under the name Caenorhabditis elegans. Its description in RNAcentral is "Unclassified non-coding RNA T08B2.17". Lineage: Eukaryota; Metazoa; Nematoda; Chromadorea; Rhabditida; Rhabditidae. The record is from RNAcentral.
CUUCAAGAAGAGGAGCGUGAGCGCAGAGACAACUACAUGCCAGAGAUCUCCACUGUUGAUCCAUCUCAACUCACCUCCAUCAAGG